GAGAGCACGACAUUGCUCACAUUGCUUCCAGUAUUAUUUUAGCCAGCCUAAGCGCUGGCUUUUUUUU
This is a non-coding RNA of Brenneria sp. EniD312, 67 nucleotides long. Lineage: Bacteria; Pseudomonadati; Pseudomonadota; Gammaproteobacteria; Enterobacterales; Pectobacteriaceae. The record is from Rfam.